AUACGUAGGUGGCAAGCGUUGUCCGGAUUUACUGGGUUUAAAGGGUGCGCAGGCGGGAGAUUAAGUCGGCGGUGAAAUUUUGCAGCUCAACUGUAAAAGUGCCUUCGAAACUGGUUUCCUUGAGUGUAGAUGAAGGAGGCGGAAUUUGUGGUGUAGCGGUGAAAUGCAUAGAUAUCACGAGGAACUCCGAUUGCGCAGGCAGCUUACUAAACUACUACUGACGCUCAGGCACGAAGGCGUGGGGAUCAAACAGGAUUAGAUACCCUGGUAGUCCACGCAGUAAACGAUGAUUACUAGCUGUUUGCGAUACAAUGUAAGCGGCUGAGCGAAAGCGUUAAGUAAUCCACCUGGGGAGUACGUUCGCAAGAAUGAAACUCAAAGGAAUUGACGGGG
Molecule: ribosomal RNA, 393 nt
Filed under: uncultured bacterium
Lineage: Bacteria
Description: partial 16S ribosomal RNA
Rfam family: Bacterial small subunit ribosomal RNA
Source: RNAcentral